UGGGGUGACCGAUGGUCCCUGGUCUGU
Molecule: non-coding RNA, 27 nt
Filed under: Homo sapiens (human)
Lineage: Eukaryota; Metazoa; Chordata; Mammalia; Primates; Hominidae
Source: RNAcentral